Molecule: non-coding RNA, 73 nt
Organism: Syngnathoides biaculeatus (alligator pipefish)
Lineage: Eukaryota; Metazoa; Chordata; Actinopteri; Syngnathiformes; Syngnathidae
Source: the annotation of a RefSeq genome assembly
ACCCAAUUAGCUCAGUUGAUAGAAUAUGAGACUCUUAAUCUCAGGGCUGUGGGUUCAAGUCCCACAUUGGGCG